AGAAAUGAGCCCCAUUAAGUGAAGUCGAGAUGCUGUGAUUUCCAUGGUAGACCGUGGAGGAAGGGGUUCACAGGCUCAAGGAAGUGAGUAUGCUAGAAUGGAUACUGCCAGCUGACUAUAUUCCACGAGAGGGCCUGGAAGACUCUCUGUUUAUCAAGGCCAUGGGAAGUGGGGGCACCACCAUCUUUGUUGAGAAACUCAGUGACAACCCAUGGUGGCUGUCCUCUGUAGGUCAGGGCUGACAAUAGGGGAUGCUGUUACAGAACUGGGCUCUCUAGUAGCAAGGGGAAGUGAUAGGAUCCUGGAGUGACAGAGGCAGGAUGGUAGCACUUAUGCAUCAGAAGCAAGGGGGGCAUGAUUGCUGUAGUGGGCAGCAAGGUCAGAAUGGCAGAUAGGGGCACCUGACUUGCAGGGAUCCAUGGAGAUGCACAUAGAACAUUGGGAAAGAUAGAUGGGUAGUCAGCAAAGGCAUGCUGUAUAAAGGAUAUAUAUGUAUACAUGUAACAUCUGGAACCAGCCCUGGUGGCCUAAUGGUUAAGAUUUGGCUCUCUCACUACCACAGCCCGGGUUUGUUUCCCAGUCAGGGAACCACACGACCCGUCUGUCAGUUGUCAUGCUGUCGCUGUGAUGCUGAAAGCUAUGCCACUGGUGUUUCAAAUACCAGCAGGGUCACCCAUGGUGGACAGGUUUCAGCGGAGCUUCCAGACUAAGACAGACAAGGAAGAAGAAGGACCUGGCCACCCACUUCCAAAAAAAUUGGCCAUGAAAACCCUACGAAGAGCAGCAGAGCAUCGUUUGAUACAGUGCCGGAAGAUGUUGAAAUUGAGAAUGAUCAUCUCAACUGAGGACUAGGAUGGAUAAAACAGAGUCAGAGACUACAGCCUCCCCAGAACGUGUCCUUAUAAAAAGAGGAAACUCGGACAGAGAUACACAUACAGGGAGACCAACACGUGAAGAGGAAGGCAGAGGUCGGAGUGAUGCUUCUACAAGCCACAGAACACCAAAGAUUGCCAACAAACUACCAGAAGCUAGGAGAGAAGCAUGGAACAGAUUCUCCCUUACAGCCCUCAGAAGGAACCAACUCUGCCGACACCUUGAUCUUGGACUUCCAGCCUUCAGAACUUACAGGCUCUGGCUCAGGCUUUCCCCUCACUCCUGUCUUCUGCCACCUGACCAAAACCUGGUGCUGCCCUUGUGGCCUUGCAUGGCAUGUGCUGACCCCUUCUUUGAGACCUGUGAGUAUAAUAAACUUCUUUCUUCCAA
RNAcentral lists this long non-coding RNA (1263 nucleotides) under Equus caballus (horse). RNAcentral describes it as "lncRNA (ENSECAG00000051781.1)". The record is from RNAcentral. Lineage: Eukaryota; Metazoa; Chordata; Mammalia; Perissodactyla; Equidae.